Molecule: RNA transcript, 4591 nt
Organism: Varanus komodoensis (Komodo dragon)
Lineage: Eukaryota; Metazoa; Chordata; Lepidosauria; Squamata; Varanidae
Gene: AMIGO3
Gene name: adhesion molecule with Ig like domain 3
Exons: 2
Source: RefSeq, a predicted model, not a curated record
CACAGCCAAGGUUGAAGAAUGACUAAAACUAGAAGCCUUAUAGACACACAUUGAGGCACCUUGAAAAACAGAGGCACCUGUGCUGCAAAACAAGAUUACAAUCUCCCUUCUUUUAGCAGACUUGCUUCCUCAUCUCCCCUGGUAAUCAUGUUGCUAGCUAAGUGACUGCAGUUCUUGUGUGCCGCUCUGAUGACCAGUCUCAGAAUAACUGUCCAGGAGUGUUCUGCCCUCACAUGGCAUAGCAAAGAAAGUACAUGCCAUUCAAAAAACAAAAUAAACUUCACUACCGCUUCUCUUCUCUCCUCCCCUUCUAUCACCACUCCCUCUUAACACAAACCAAUUGAAUCGCUCCUUGGUCCACAAGGCUUACCGUUCAGUGUUCACCGGCAGCUUGCAAACAGGAGCAGAAGAGGGGGAAAGUGUUCAGAUACACUGAGCCUGCUGAAAGAUGAUACAAGCAGCAAGAAGGACUGAUUCUGCUCAGUAUUGCCCAGAAAGGACAGUUUCAGGGUAAGAGCUGUUCUUUUUGGUUUUUUAGCAUUUCCAUUUGGGAUUACAGAAGUGAAGGGAUGUUGUCCUACCUAAGCCUCUUUUGUGAUGGAUCCAUACAGGAGUUGCCUAACCACAGGAUGGGGAACCACUAAUGGAAAUUUUGGAUUCAAAGGAUGCUUGGAUCAGUGAAACAGAAAAUGGAUCUGACUUUUCAACGCACCCAAAUUAUUGAAAAGGCAGCCUCAAACGGAUGCAAGGUUAGGUUAUUUGGAGAGAAUUGCAGAGUGGCAGAUCCAAUCAACAUGUUUGAGGCUUCUGAAGUAGAGUUCGAGAGGCUCUAUCUAGACACACCUUGCCUUUGAAAUUAUUGGCAUCAAUGAAUAGAAACAGACUUCAGCCAGUUUGUUCAACUUGAAAAGUGGCAGGCUGAGCAGCAGUCACAUGCUGGCAUUCCGCUGCAGUGUACCAUCUAGGCAGCACCGGCUUAUUUCCAGCAAAGCGUACUGUCUUUUCAGGAGCCAAACUUGACCUCUCCACAAGCAGCACCUUAUUUUAGAGAUGCGUUCCACGGCUGCCCAUGCAUGCUGCAGCACUCCGUGGCAGAGUUAUACUCGAGCGUGAAGUUUAACACAGUGAUUCUAUGCUGCUGGCAACACAGGCUGAACUUCACUCUUACAUGAUGAAUGUGCUGAUAUUGGCUACAUUUAAUUGGAAACUCCUUGGAAAGCUUCUUGUAUUCUUUGAACUGUGCAUUCAAGUUAGCACCUUAAAUGAUUUUUCCACUCACACAAGAUGCCCUGAGGUCUGUAUUUGUACAGCUGAUCUCUUGAGUUGUGCCAAGAGGAAUAUUCAGCAGGUCCCUGUCAUGCUGCCUCCCACAGCCACUACCUUGGAUCUCAGCCAUAAUGCCAUUGUUCAGCUUCAUAAUCAUUGGCUGACUGCCUUACCACGCCUCCAAACCCUUCGGAUCAGUCACAAUAAGAUCAGUAACAUCACCUGGCAAGUGUUCUACAAUGCCACUUCCCUUGAACACCUGGACAUUUCUUCUAACUGCUUGCACACUGUGGAAAAGUACUACUUUGAAGGCCUUGUAAACUUGAAAGAGCUCUUGUUGUACAAUAACAAAAUUGUACAGGUAGAUAAAUAUGCUUUUGCCAAGCUAACCAGUUUGCAAAAGAUCUAUCUAAGUUGGAACAAGUUGACUACAUUUCCAUUUGAUUCCAUUCAAAGACUUGAAUAUCCUUAUUUGAGGAUCCUAGAUCUUUCUGCCAACAAAUUAAGCAGCAUUCCUGUUGACGUAGUAUCAACCUUGCCUGUGUACAUUAAAAAUGGCUUAUAUCUUCACAACAAUCCUGUGAGGUGUGACUGCUCUCUUCACCAGAUGUUUCAGGAAUGGAAUCACCGUGGUUUCAGUUCCAUACAGGAUUUCAAAGAAGAACACACUUGCAGAGCUUAUGCCAGUGUGCCGCUCUCCUUAGUCGAUACCUUCAAGUACAACAAGUAUUUCGGAGAUUGUCCCUGGAGCGAAAGCAAACUUGGCAUUCCAAAGGUUUUUUGCAAAGUGGGAGAAUCCUUAAUAAUGGACUGUAACACAAGCCUCCAUAAUGACAAUUCCACCACCUAUAGGUGGAUCUCUCCUCGCCAUGAAUUAUUCAGAUAUCCUGAGCACGGUGAUCAGACUCAUCAGCCUUUCAAAAAUGGAAGCUUAAAGAUCACAAAUGCUCAGCUUUUGCAUUCUGGUGUUUAUGUGUGCAUAGCGAUCAGCGAGCUCCAAAAUAUCAACCGGACACAUGAAGUUAAUGUCACAGUCCAGUACCCCAAAUUAGCUGAGCCUUUCAAAACUGCCCUCACAACCCUCUUAGGGUGUAUUGUAAGCCUGGUGCUGGUCCUUAUGUACUUGUACCUAACACCAUGUCGCUGCUCCAAGUGCUGCAAGAAGCCUGUAAGCCCACCCCAAGAAUGCAGUGCCCAGUCAUCUAUCCUCAGUACUACCCCACCGGCCACUGAUGGGCCAAGUCGCAAGAUCAGUGCAAACAAGCACGUUGCUUUCAGGGAGCCCAUCAAGGAGGGCCAGAAUGGCAAAGUCAGGCUGGCUGUCGGUGAGGAUUUUCCUGGCACUAAAAAACCCAAGCCACCGCAACUUAAGCUGGACACCGAAUCUAUCAGUUCAGUCUUUUCUGACCAUCCCAUCAUAGCCAAGGAACAAGUACAGUCACCGACUAAUGCAUAGCAAGCAAGCCCCAGGAAGAAUGUGGUGAGGUGAGACUGGAACAGAGUUUGGGUACAUUACCUUCAUGAGAGGGAAGAAAAAGCAAGAUAUAUUUAUAAAGCAUUUCCUCACCAAAAAGUAUGGACAGUUUUGGUAUGUGUGUUUGUUUGCCUGCUUGUUUUUUAAACCUCCCUUGGAUGCAGGAUUCACUUUUAUUUUUCUGUCAUCUUCCCCAGAAGGAAGAAUGAUUUCUUCCACUAAUUCCAGUUUAAAUGUCCAGAAUUCAUCUAUUAUGCACAAAGAGAAGCAACAAUCUUUUAUCCAAAAGAAAACAGAAGGACUGCAGCCUAUUUGGUCAUCAAGACUACAAUGUUAUGGCAGAAAGUACCUUUGGAAAACUCCUAUAGAAUACAAGCUUGUGUUAGUGCUUUGAUCUUCAAAGAAUAAACAUUUGCUAUGUAACAAGCCUAUUGUUUUCAUUUCAGGAGAAGAAAAAGUGCCAUGCCUUUGCUAUACAAACAGGGGAGCCUUUCUUACUUUUUAACUGCUUUAGCCAGCUACUGCUUCUAAUAGUGUUUUGGAAAAUAAAUUCAUGAGCCCACUCUUUCCAACUUCUGGGCUGUAUGGAACAAGUUGCAGCAUGGUUAAAAAUUGAAGCAAUGGUGCCUUUAGAAAGGCAACAAACCCUGCUCCGGAUGAUCACAUCAUAUGCAUGGAUAUGUGCAAUCAGCCACGGCCCAAGCAGAACUUGAAGACGACACACAAAUGAUACAUUUAUUUAUUAAUAUCAUUUAAACCAGUGGAUUUCAACCUUACUACAGCUGGGGACCAGUGAAAACAGGAAAACUACCUUGAGGACUGCUGAGGCAGAAACAAAAAGCACCAUGCACAUAAUACAGUAUUCCAUGUAUUAGUUUCUCAACACAAUACCCCCCAAAAAAAAGAAAAUUCUCCAAAACAACCUGAAACCGAGCAACAAAAAAUGUCAACAAAAACGGAAAUUGGUGCAGCGUGGCUCCCACUGAGCUGUCUCCCCCCUCCCUGGCACCCAGGCAGCACAGCGCACCCCCCGCGAAUGCGAUGCCAACCAAGGAGGAGGUGGUGGAGCGCAGCGAGCUCCUGCACCGGUCCACAGUGAGCAGGAUGCAAUCCCCCACAGACCAGCAUGAACUCUCCCAUGGACUGGUGGUUGAAAACCACUGAUUUAAACCAUGAGCAUUGCAAAUGGGGCAUUUAUAUCUCCUUUAGAAAGUAAAGCUUGAUCUAACCAACAUCAAGAUCUGCACAGAAAUAGCAAAAGUAAGAUGUUUAGUUAUGCAAACCACACAAGCACAGAAGAUAGCUAUCAACCUAGAAGAUAGCUAUCAACCUAUAAACAAUCUCAUUUUCAGUAAUGUUAAAGCUCAUUAGAUAUACAGACUUUUCAUAUAUAUAGACAUUACAAGCAAAGUAGGUUCUACCAAUGAAUCACCUACUUCAAAGUUUUAUCAGCAAGCUUUUUAAAAACUAGUGUGCUUCCAGUGUUGGGAGUAUAUAGGCCCUGCACGUGGACUGUUCGCCAAAUAAAAAGUAGGGUGCCCUUUUUCUGCACUUGGGUGUUCUUGUGAUCACAGAAAUGUUGACUGGGUUCACACAACACAGAAAUUAUGGGGUUUUGUCUUGUGCAAACCAAAACCAAUUUCCAGGAUGGCUUGUGAAUAAGAACAAAGAAACCAAACCACUCAUGAGCAGAUAUAGCAGUUGUCUACCUACAAUGGGUUGUCUUAUCAUUCACAUUGGUAUAUCCAUCCUUAGCAUGGGUAGGAGAAAAUCGGCUAAAAAACUCCAUGGCAAAAGCAUCCAAUGCCCCUUACCACUCCUGCUUUGUGGUUACUGAAAAAAGCACCAUUG